This 439-nucleotide ribosomal RNA is filed under the name uncultured bacterium. RNAcentral describes it as "partial 16S ribosomal RNA". It matches the Rfam family "Bacterial small subunit ribosomal RNA", at positions 339 to 795 of the family's 1533-position model. The record is from RNAcentral.
CUACGGGCUGCUGCAGUGGGGAAUAUUGGACAAUGGGGGAAACCCUGAUGCAGCAACGCCGCGUGGAGGAUGACACUUUUCGGAGCGUAAACUCCUUUUAUAUAGGAAGAAGAUGACGGUACUAUAUGAAUAAGCGCCGGCUAACUCCGUGCCAGCAGCCGCGGUAAUACGGAGGGCGCAAGCGUUACUCGGAAUCACUGGGCGUAAAGAGCGUGUAGGCGGAUUAAAAAGUCAGAAGUGAAAUCCUAUAGCUUAACUAUAGAACUGCUUCUGAAACUCUUAAUCUAGAAUAUGGGAGAGGUAGAUGGAAUUUCUGGUGUAGGGGUAAAAUCCGUAGAGAUCAGAAGGAAUACCGAUUGCGAAGGCGAUCUACUAGAACAUUAUUGACGCUGAGACGCGAAAGCGUGGGGAGCAAACAGGAUUAGAUACCCCGGUAGUC